Molecule: ribosomal RNA, 301 nt
Filed under: uncultured bacterium
Lineage: Bacteria
Description: partial 16S ribosomal RNA
Rfam family: Bacterial small subunit ribosomal RNA
Source: RNAcentral
CAGCAGCCACGGGAAUACGAACCGUGCGAACGUUAUUCGGGAUCACUGGGCUUAAAGCGCGUGUAGGCGGGCCGCCACGUCGGCUGCUGAAAUCCCCCAGCUCAACCGGGGAAGUGGCACCGAUACGAGCGGCCUGGAGGGGGGUAGGGGGGACUGGAACUUCCGGUGGAGCGGUGAAAUGCGUUGAGAUCGGAAGGAACGCCCGUGGCGAAAGCGAGUCCCUGGACCCUUACUGACGCUGAGACGCGAAAGCCAGGGGAGCGAACGGGAUUAGAUACCCGAGUAGUCCCUGUCUCUUAUA